UUCUACACAAUUGUAGACAUCAUGUAAAAAUGAUUAAUAAUUGUGUCCGUUAACUAUGUUUUCAAAUAUUCUGAGACUGUGUUUCAGAGAUGAGGCAUGAGAGAUGGCUGGAGUCUAGGAUAGAGAAGAAUAUGAAUUGCAUUCAGUCUGUGGCAGAAGGGAAGAACAUAGGAGACGAUUCCCCAGUUCACUUGAUUUUUACCUGAUGAUUUACAAGAUAUUAUUACAUACAAGAACCUGAACAACAUCUCACCAGCAAUUUGGAGUAGAUUUUUAGUAUUGCCUUCUCAACUUGCACAGUUUGAUAAGAAAUUUCCUUCUGGAAGAGAUACACAUGGGAUGGUCUCCAGAGAACAGCUAUUUGAAAUCAAGUCCUUCCAUCUCUCCAGAAAACAGUGUACAGGAACUGAAAGCUGCCAAUAACCAAAUAAGCUAAGAUCUUUCUCCAGUUGAACCUUCAGAUAAGACCCCCAUCUCUUGCUUACAACUUGAUUCCAGCUUUUCAAGAGAUUCUUAAGAAGAGAACCCAUUUAUGCCAUCGAUAAAUUCUUGAUCCAUAGAAAUGGUGAGAAAAUAAAGAUUGAAAUUUGGGUUGAUUCCAUUCUCUUGCCAUCAAAUCAUAAGGGUACCAGGCAAUUAAUACUUACUAAUGGCAUCAGAAUCUCCUUCUGAGAGUAACACCCAAACAACUUAUCAUACAGUGAAAGAAAGAAGGAAGGAAGGAAGGAAGGAAGGAAGGAAGGAAGGAAGGAAGGAAGA
Long non-coding RNA from Suricata suricatta (meerkat), 759 nucleotides. RefSeq lists it as uncharacterized. The transcript is spliced from 5 exons. Lineage: Eukaryota; Metazoa; Chordata; Mammalia; Carnivora; Herpestidae. The record is from RefSeq and is a predicted model, not a curated record.